RNAcentral lists this transfer RNA (71 nucleotides) under Marmota marmota marmota (Alpine marmot). It matches the Rfam family "tRNA". Rfam says of the family: Transfer RNA (tRNA) molecules are approximately 80 nucleotides in length. Their secondary structure includes four short double-helical elements and three loops (D, anti-codon, and T loops). Further hydrogen bonds mediate the characteristic L-shaped molecular structure. tRNAs have two regions of fundamental functional importance: the anti-codon, which is responsible for specific mRNA codon recognition, and the 3' end, to which the tRNAs corresponding amino acid is attached (by aminoacyl-tRNA synthetases). tRNAs cope with the degeneracy of the genetic code in two manners: having more than one tRNA (with a specific anti-codon) for a particular amino acid; and 'wobble' base-pairing, i.e. permitting non-standard base-pairing at the 3rd anti-codon position. Lineage: Eukaryota; Metazoa; Chordata; Mammalia; Rodentia; Sciuridae. RNAcentral also lists the same sequence under 1 other name. The record is from Rfam by way of RNAcentral.
GGGGUUGAGGCUCAGUGGUAGAGCACCUGCCUAGCAUGCAUGAGACACUGGGUCCAAUUCUAAGCACCUCA